Molecule: ribosomal RNA, 1380 nt
Filed under: uncultured prokaryote
Description: partial 16S ribosomal RNA
Rfam family: Bacterial small subunit ribosomal RNA
Source: RNAcentral
UCAGAACGAACGCUGGUGGCAUGCCUAAUACAUGCAAGUCGAACGAGAAAGCUACUUCGGUAGUGAUUAGAGUGGCGCACGGGUGAGUAACACGUAGGUGACCUGCCUUUUAGUGGGGAAUAACUUGGGGAAACUCGGGCUAAUACCGCAUAAGCUUAGCAAACUUGAAAGUAGCUAAGGAAAGAUUGCCUCUAUACUAUGCAGUCGCCGAUUGAGGAGCCUGCGAGACAUUAGCUUGAUGGUGGGGUAAUGGCCUACCAUGGCUGCGAUGUCUAGCGGAUUUGAGAGAAUGAUCCGCCACACUGGAACUGAGACACGGUCCAGACUCCUACGGGAGGCAGCAGUAGGGAAUAUUGCGCAAUGGGGGAAACCCUGACGCAGCAAUGCCGCAUGAGUGAGGAAGGUCUUAGGAUUGUAAAGCUCUGUCAAUGAGGAAAAACGGCAUUAUGGUUAAUACCCAUAGUGUUUGAUGGUACUCAUAAAGGAAGCACCGGCUAACUUCGUGCCAGCAGCCGCGGUAAUACGAAGGGUGCAAGCGUUGUUCGGAUUUAUUGGGCGUAAAGCGCGCGCAGGCGGAUUUGUAAGUCAGAUGUGAAAUCUCGGGGCUCAACCUCGAAACUGCGUCUGAAACUACUAAUCUAGAAUCUUGGAGAGGGAAGGGGAAUUUCAUGUGUAGGGGUAAAAUCCGUAGAGAUAUGAAGGAACACCAGAGGCGAAGGCGCCUUCCUGGACAAGUAUUGACGCUGAGGCGCGAAAGCGUGGGGAGCGAACAGGAUUAGAUACCCUGGUAGUCCACGCCGUAAACGAUGAGCACUAGAAUUCGGGGGAUUGACCCCUUCGGAUUCGCAGCUAACGCAUUAAGUGCUCCGCCUGGGGAGUACGGUCGCAAGACUAAAACUCAAAGGAAUUGACGGGGGCCCGCACAAGCGGUGGAUUAUGUGGUUUAAUUCGAAGCAACGCGCAGAACCUUACCUAGGUUUGAAAUCCUACGAAUCUGAUAGAGAUAUCGGAGUGCCCUUCGGGGAAUGUAGUGACAGGCGCUGCAUGGCUGUCGUCAGCUCGUGUUGUGAAAUGUUGGGUUAAGUCUCGCAACGAGCGGAACCCCUAUCUUUAGUUGCCAGCAUUAAGUUGGGCACUCUAGAGAGACUGCCGAGGUUAACUCGGAGGAAGGUGGGGAUGACGUCAAGUCCUCAUGGCCCUUAUAUCCAGGGCUACACACGUGAUACAAUGGUUGGUACAGAGGGACGCUACCUCGCAAGAGCACGCAAAUCUCCAAAAGCCAAUCUCAGUCCGGAUUGGAGUCUGCAACUCGACUCCAUGAAGUUGGAAUCGCUAGUAAUCGUGGAUCAGCACGCCACGGUGAAUACGUUCCCGGGCCUU